This 253-nucleotide ribosomal RNA is filed under the name uncultured bacterium. RNAcentral's name for it is "partial 16S ribosomal RNA". It matches the Rfam family "Bacterial small subunit ribosomal RNA", at positions 524 to 776 of the family's 1533-position model. The record is from RNAcentral.
UACGUAGGUGGCAAGCGUUAUCCGGAAUUAUUGGGCGUAAAGCGCUCGCAGGCGGUUUCUUAAGUCUGAUGUGAAAGCCCAAGGCUCAACCGUGGAGGGUCAUUGGAAACUGGGAAACUUGAGUGCAGAAGAGGAGAGUGGAAUUCCACGUGUAGCGGUGAAAUGCGUAGAGAUGUGGAGGAACACCAGUGGCGAAGGCGACUCUCUGGUCUGUAACUGACGCUGAGGAGCGAAAGCGUGGGGAGCAAACAGG